UCAGCAGCCUGCCUGAUCUCUGCCUCUUGAUCUGCCCUUCUUUCCAGCCUCCACGCCUCUCUGCCUCGGAUUCUGGACUGUUCUCUGCCACAGCCACUUCCUGCUCACUAAAACCCUGUUACCUCUUCAGCUUCUGACACCUCCUCCUCCCAGUCUGCUCCCGCUUCUCCCUCUACCACCCAUCACCAUCCUACCACCAAUCCCCCGUCUCUGAGUGUUCCCCACCACCUUACAUGCCUUACUUUUUCCCUCUCAGGAGAAGAGGGGGUGUGACAUCAGUAAGCCUACUCUAUAAAUUUAGAACUCCGUGGUCCUUAACCCCUUCACAUACUAACUGGCAUUGUUAGGUUUGAUAGCAAAUCUCCCACACAUAUCCCCUUAUGGUCGCCACAAGCACCGUUCUUGUGCUUCUACACUAAGUGGAAGACGGAGAGUGCACACACAACAGGUGGGGUGUAACUAUGCUCUAGGACAGUAAUGUGAACACACCCUUGAAGAAUGAUCUGAGAGUAAAAGGGUAAGAAAGAGAGCAGGUUUCCCAAAGAAAAUGGGACCUGAUUGGGUUUGAAAGCAGAAUAUAUGAGAGAGUGAGGGUUUGGUUUUGAGAGAGAGAGAGAGAGAGAGAGAGAGAAGGGGGAAGGGCUAAUAACUUUCCAUAUGUCUACAAGGCGGUGGUUUUUUUGUGGUUGAGAUGAGGGCACCUGUUCAGCAAGUGACAGAGGAGGAGGUGAGGCAGGGAGGAACAGUCACAUGUAAAGGAAAUCAGGUCUCUUUGGGGACCCCAAGAGCAAAAAGGAACCAUUUUAUGACUAAGAUGGGGCUUUAAUGAUUAAAAGGAGAGCAAAUACUAAGAAUCCCAUUUUCCUGUUUUAUCAAAUCUAGGAUUAAGAGAUUACAGUCUUAGUUAAAGGGUUUGUCUCUUCCUGAGCUAACAAAAGGAAGGUAAAAAUUAACAGCCAGUGCAACCAUGCCUGUUGGUUACUUCUCAGUUGGAGACUUAGGUAAUUUUCUCCCCCUCCCCCCAAGUAAUUCCAAAAGGGAGCAGACGAAGCAAAAGAAUUAGGCUGGAAACAAACAAUGGGCAUGCCACAGGGGUGUUUGCUUACCGUGUGGGCAACAGUAAGUGCUCUGCCUGGGUUUUGGUUAUGCCUCAUGCUUUUCCUAACCCUGCCUGUGGCUGCCAUUUCAGC
This is a non-coding RNA of Podarcis lilfordi (Lilford's wall lizard), 1190 nucleotides long. The record is from the annotation of a GenBank genome assembly. NCBI's taxonomy places the organism in Eukaryota, Metazoa, Chordata, Lepidosauria, Squamata, Lacertidae.